UUACGGUUAAAUCAGGUUGAAACAUCCCUUCCCGUACGAUCACUGAACCUAAGCAACGUCGAGCCCGGUCAGUAACUAAAUGGGUGACCGCAUGGGAAUACUAGGUGCUGUAA
Non-coding RNA from Acanthosepion pharaonis, 113 nucleotides. The record is from the annotation of a GenBank genome assembly. NCBI's taxonomy places the organism in Eukaryota, Metazoa, Mollusca, Cephalopoda, Sepiida, Sepiidae.